CAGAGUGUGGCUGAGCUAGUUAAGCAUCUCACUUACACCGAGAAGAAACCCAUGCAAUCUGGGUCGCUCUGA
RNAcentral lists this transfer RNA (72 nucleotides) under Enteromius pobeguini. RNAcentral describes it as "tRNA-Val". It matches the Rfam family "tRNA". Rfam says of the family: Transfer RNA (tRNA) molecules are approximately 80 nucleotides in length. Their secondary structure includes four short double-helical elements and three loops (D, anti-codon, and T loops). Lineage: Eukaryota; Metazoa; Chordata; Actinopteri; Cypriniformes; Cyprinidae. The record is from RNAcentral.